RNAcentral lists this ribosomal RNA (440 nucleotides) under uncultured bacterium. RNAcentral describes it as "bacterial SSU rRNA". It matches the Rfam family "Bacterial small subunit ribosomal RNA", at positions 338 to 795 of the family's 1533-position model. The record is from RNAcentral.
CCUACGGGUCGCACCAGUGGGGAAUAUUGGACAAUGGGCGAAAGCCUGAUCCAGCAAUGCCGCGUGUGUGAAGAAGGUCUUCGGAUUGUAAAGCACUUUCGACGGGGACGAUGAUGACGGUACCCGUAGAAGAAGCCCCGGCUAACUUCGUGCCAGCAGCCGCGGUAAUACGAAGGGGGCUAGCGUUGCUCGGAAUGACUGGGCGUAAAGGGCGCGUAGGCGGUUUAUGCAGUCAGAUGUGAAAUCCCCGGGCUUAACCUGGGAACUGCAUUUGAGACGCAUAGACUAGAGGUCGAGAGAGGGUUGUGGAAUUCCCAGUGUAGAGGUGAAAUUCGUAGAUAUUCGGAGGAACACCAGUGGCGAAGGCGGCUUACUGGCUCGAUACUGACGCUGAGGUGCGAAAGCGUGGGUAGCAAACAGGAUUAGAUACCCGGGUAGUC